RNAcentral lists this ribosomal RNA (395 nucleotides) under uncultured bacterium. RNAcentral's name for it is "partial 16S ribosomal RNA". It matches the Rfam family "Bacterial small subunit ribosomal RNA", at positions 523 to 918 of the family's 1533-position model. The record is from RNAcentral.
AUACGUAGGGUGCAAGCGUCAAUCGGAAUUACUGGGCGUAAAGCGUGCGCAGGCGGUUUUGUAAGACAGUGGUGAAAUCCCCGGGCUCAACCUGGGAACUGCCAUUGUGACUGCAAGGCUGGAGUGCGGCAGAGGGGGAUGGAAUUCCGCGUGUAGCAGUGAAAUGCGUAGAUAUGCGGAGGAACACCGAUGGCGAAGGCAAUCCCCUGGGCCUGCACUGACGCUCAUGCACGAAAGCGUGGGGAGCAAACAGGAUUAGAUACCCUGGUAGUCCACGCCCUAAACGAUGUCAACUGGUUGUUGGGUCUUCAUUGACUCAGUAACGAAGCUAACGCGUGAAGUUGACCGCCUGGGGAGUACGGCCGCAAGGUUGAAACUCAAAUGAAUUGACGGGG